GGGUAGGGGUCGAUUAAAUAUGUUUUUGGCUUACGUUCACAUAUUUUAGUAUAAGUAUAGAUUCAGGCAUGUAGUAAACACCCUUAGCAUUAUGUUGAGCUAUAAUAUAACCCAAUUGCAUGCCUGGGCGGUGCUGGGGAAGAUUUUCACUCUUAUGGAUAUUUGCCUUUAUGUUGGUUUUCUAGGCUUAUAUGAUGGUUUAUCGAGUUUUCCGUUGAAUGAAGCACCUAUUUAUGUUGGAAAACACAUCUCAAAGUUAGUCAAGGCCUUUAUGGUGAGAAUGAUGCCUUGUAUAGACCAAUGAUAUGCUCAGUUUGGUCCCUAGGGUGAAAAGAUCCGGGGUUGGUAUGGUCAAUAUUGGCGUCUGGCUAUCCAAAUUGGGGGUAAGGGUCGAUUAAAUAUUUUCUUGGCUUACGUUCACAUAUUUAAGUAUAAAUAUAGAUUCAGGCAUGUAGUAAACACCCUUAGCAUUAUGUUAAAGACCUUUACGGAGAAAAUGUCACCUUGUAUAGACCAAUGAUAUGCUCAGUUUGGUCCCUAGGGUGAAAAGAUCCGGGGUUGGUAUGGUCAAUAUUGGCGUCUGGCUAUCCAAAUUGGGGUAGGGGUCGAUUAAAUAUUUUUUUUGGCUUACGUUCACAUAUUUUAGUAUAAAUAAAGAUUCAGGCAUGUAGUUAACACCCUUAGCUUUAGUUUGAGCUAUAAUAUAACCCAAUGGCAUGCCUGGGCGGUGCUGGGGGAAGAUUUUCACUCUUAUGGAUAUUGCCUUUAUGUUGGUUUUCUAGGCUUUUAUGAUGGUUUAUCGUGUUUUCCGCUUAAUGAGGCACCUAUUUAUGUUGGAAAACACAUCUUAAAGUUAGCCAAAGCCUUUACGAUGAAAAUGACACCUUGUAUAGACCAAUGAUAUGCUCAGUUUGGUCCCUAGGGUGAAAAGAUCCGGGGUUGGUAUGGUCAAUAUUUGGCUCUGGCUAUCCAAAUUGGGGUAGGGGUCGAUUAAAUAUUGUUUUGGCUUACGUUCACAUAUUUUAGUAUAAAUAAAGAUUCAGGCAUGUAGUAAACACCCUAAGCAUUAGUUUGAGCUAUAAUUAACACCCAAUGGCAUGCCUGGGCGGUGCUGGGGGAAGAUUUUCACUCUUAUGGAUAUUUGCCUUUAUGUUGGUUUUCUAGGCUUUUAUGAUGGUUUAUCGUGUUUUCCGCUUAAUGAGGAACCUAUUUAUGUUGGAAAACACAUCUUAAAGUUAGCCAAGGCCUUUACGGUGAAAAUGACACCUUGUAUAGACCAAUGAUAUGCUCAGUUUGGUCCCUAGGGUGAAAAGAUCCGGGGUUGGUAUGGUCAAUAUUGGCGUCUGGCUAUCCAAAAUUGGGUAGGGGUCGAUUAAAUAUUUUUUGGCGCUCUGUUCACAUAUUUUAGUAUAAAUAGGAUUCAGGCAUGUAGUAGACACCCUUAGCAUUAGUUUGAGCUAAAUAAUAUACCCCAAUGGCAUGCCUGGGCGGUGCUGGGGAAGAUUUUCACUCUUAUGGGUAGUUGCCUUUAUGUUGGUUUUCUAGGCUUUUAUGAUGGUUUAUCGUGUUUUCCGCUUAAUGAGGCACCUAUUUAUGUUGGAAAAAACACAUCUUUAAAGUUAGCCAAGGCCUUUACGAUGAAAAUGACACCUUGUAUAGACCAAUGAUAUGCUCAGUUUGGUCCCUAGGGUGAAAAGAUCCGGGGUUGGUAUGGUCAAUAUUGGCGUCUGGCUAUCCAAAUUGGGGGUAGAGGUCGAUUAAAUAUUUUUUGGCUUACGUUCACAUAUUUUAGUAUAAAUAAAGAUUCAGGCAUGUAGUAAACACCCUAGCAUUAGUUUGAGCUAUAAUAUACCCAAUGGCAUGCCUGGGCGGUGCUGAGGGAAGAUUUUCACUCUUAUGGGUAGUUGCCUUUAUGUUGGUUUUCUAGGCUUUUUAUGAUGGUUUAUCGUGUUUUCCGCUUAAUGAGGCACCUAUUUAUGUUGGAAAACACAUCUUAAAGUUAGCCAAGGCCUUUACGAUGAAAAUGACACCUUGUAUAGACCAAUGAUAUGCUCAGUUUGGUCCCUAGGGUGAAAAGAUCCGGGGUUGGUAUGGUCAAUAUUGGCGUCUGGCUAUCCAAAUUGGCGGAAGGGUCGAUUAAAUAUUUUUUGGCUUACGUUCCACAUAUUUUUAGUAUAAGUAAAGAUUCAGGCAUGUAGUAAACACCCUUAACUUUAGUUUGAGCUAUAAUAUAACCCAAUGGCAUGCCUGGGCGGUGCUGGGGAAAGAUUUUCACUCUUAUGGAUAUUUGCCUUUAUGUUGGUUUUCUAGGCUUUUAUGAUUAUUUAUCGUGCUUUCCGCUUAAUGAAGAACCUAUUUAUGUUGGAAAACAACAUCUUAAAGUUAGCCAAGGCCUUUACGAUGAAAAUGACACCUUGUAUAGACCAAUGAUAUGCUCAGUUUGGUCCCUAGGGUGAAAAGAUCCGGGGGUUGGUAUGGUCAAUAUUGGCGUCUGGCUAUCCAAAUUGGGAAUGGGUCGAUCAAAUAUUUGUUUGGCUUACGUUCACAUAUUUUAGUAUAUUAUAAAGAUUCAGGCAUGUAGUAAACACCCUUAAGCAUUAGUUUGAGCUAUAAUAUCACCCAAUGGCAUGCCUGGUGGUGCUGGGAAAGAUUUUCACUCUUAUGGAUAUUUGCCUUUAUGUUGGUUUUCUAGGCUUUUAUGAUGGUUUAUCGUGUUUUCCGCUUAAUGAAGCAACCUAUUUAAUGUUGGAAAAACACAUCUUAAAGUUAGCCAAGGCCUUUACGAUGAAAAUGACACCUUGUAUAGACCAAUGAUAUGCUCAGUUUGGUCCCUAGGGUGAAAAGAUCCGGGGUUGGUAUGGUCAAUAUUGGCGUCUGGCUAUCCAAAUUGGGGUAGGGGUCGAUUAAAUAUUUUUUGGCUUACGUUCCACAUAUUUUAGUAUAAAUAAAGAUUCAGGCAUGUAGUAAACACCUUAGCAUUAGUUUGAGCUAUAAUAUAAACCCAAUGGCAUGCCUGGGCGGUGCUGGGGAAGAUUUUCACUCUUAUGGAUAUUUGCCUUUAUGUUGGUUUUCUAGGCUUUAUGAUGGUUUAUCGUGUUUUCCGCUUAAUGAGCACCUAUUUAUGUUGGAAAACACAUCUUAAAGUUAGCCAAGGCCUUUACGAUGAAAAUGACACCUUGUAUAGACCAAUGAUAUGCUCAGUUUGGUCCCUAGGGUGAAAAGAUCCGGGGUUGGUAUGGUCAAUAUUGGCGUCUGGCUAUCCAAAUUGGGGUAGGGGUCGAUUAAAUAUUUUUUGGCUUACGUUCACAUAUUUUAGUAUAAGUAAAGAUUCAGCAUGUAGUGAACACCCUUAGCAUUGUUUUGAGCUAUAAUAUAAACCCAAUGGCAUGCCUGGGCGGUGCUGGGGGAGAUUUUCACUCUUAUGGAUAUUUGCCUUUAUGUUGGUUUUCUAGGCUUUUAUGAUGGUUUAUCGUGUUUUCCGCUUAAUUAAGGAACCUAUUUAUGUUGGAAAACACAUCUUAAAGUUAGCCAAGGCCUUUACGGUGAAAAUGACACCUUGUAUAGACCAAUUGAUAUGCUCAGUUUUGGUCCCUAGGGUGAAAAGAUCCGGGUUGGUAUGGUCAAUAUUGGCGUCUGGCUAUCCAAAUUGGGGGUAGGGUCGAUUUAAAUAUUUUUUGGCUUACGUUCACAUAUUUUAGUAUAAAUAAAGAUUCAGGCAUGUAGUAAACACCUCUAAGCAUCUUUUGAGCUAUAAUAUACCCCAAUGGCAUGCCUGGGCGGUGCUGGGGGAGAUUUUCACUUUUAUGGAUAUUUGCCUUUAUGUUGGUUUUCUAGGCUUUUAUGAUGGUUUAUCGUGUUUUUCGCUUAAUGAUGCACCUAUUUAUGUUGGAAAACACAUCUUAAAGUUAGCCAAGGCCUUUACGAUGAAAAUGACACCUUGUAUAGACCAAUGAUAUGCUCAGUUUGGUCCCUAGGGUGAAAAGAUCCGGGUUGGUAUGGUCAAUAUUGGCGUCUGGCUAUCCAAAUUGGGGUAAGGGUCGAAUUAAAUAUUUUUUUGGCUUACGUUCACAUAUUUUAGUAUAAAUAAAGAUUCAGGCAUGUAGUAAACACCCUUAGCUUUAGUUUGAGCUAUAAUAUAACCCAAUGGCAUGCCUGGGCGGUGCUGGGGAAGAUUUUCACUCUUAUGGAUAUUUGCCUUUAUGUUGGUUUUCUAGGCUUUUAUGAUGGUUUAU
RNAcentral lists this long non-coding RNA (4232 nucleotides) under Mytilus galloprovincialis (Mediterranean mussel). Lineage: Eukaryota; Metazoa; Mollusca; Bivalvia; Mytilida; Mytilidae. The record is from RNAcentral.